Molecule: ribosomal RNA, 467 nt
Filed under: uncultured bacterium
Lineage: Bacteria
Description: partial 16S ribosomal RNA
Rfam family: Bacterial small subunit ribosomal RNA
Source: RNAcentral
GACGAACGCUGGCGGCGUGCUUAACACAUGCAAGUCGAACGGAAAGGCCCUGCUUUUGUGGGGUGCUCGAGUGGCGAACGGGUGAGUAACACGUGAGUAACCUGCCCUUGACUUUGGGAUAACUUCAGGAAACUGGGGCUAAUACCGGAUAGGAGCUCCUGCUGCAUGGUGGGGGUUGGAAAGUUUCGGCGGUUGGGGAUGGACUCGCGGCUUAUCAGCUUGUUGGUGGGGUAGUGGCUUACCAAGGCUUUGGCGGGUAGCCGGCCUGAGAGGGUGACCGGCCACAUUGGGACGGAGGUACGGCCCAGACUCCGACGGGAGGCAGCGGUGGGGAAUAUUGCACAAUGGGCGGAAGCCUGAGGCAGCAACGCCGCGUGCGGGAUGACGGCCUUCGGGUUGUAAACCGCUUUCGCCUGUGACGAAGCGUGAGUGACGGUAAUGGGUAAAGAAGCACCGGCUAACUACGU